GCAGCCGCCGCGGUAAUACGUAGGGAGCGAGCGUUGUCCGGAAUUACUGGGCGUAAAGGGUGCGUAGGCGGCGAUGUAAGUCAGAUGUGAAAUCCCCGGGCUCAACUCGGGGGGUGCAUUUGAAACUACAUUGCUUGAGUGCAGGAGAGGAAAGCGGAAUUCCUAGUGUAGCGGUGAAAUGCGUAGAUAUUAGGAAGAACACCAGUGGCGAAGGCGGCUUUCUGGACUGCAACUGACGCUGAGGCACGAAAGCGUGGGGAGCAAACAGGAUUAGAUACCCUGGUAGUCCACGCUGUAAACGAUGGAUACUAGGUGUGGAGGACAUACAACCUCUGUGCCGAAGCUAACGCAUUAAGUAUCCCGCCUGGGGAGUACGGUCGCAAGACUGAAACUCAAAGGAAUUGACGGGGGCCCGCACAAGU
RNAcentral lists this ribosomal RNA (422 nucleotides) under uncultured bacterium. Its description in RNAcentral is "bacterial SSU rRNA". It matches the Rfam family "Bacterial small subunit ribosomal RNA", at positions 508 to 930 of the family's 1533-position model. The record is from RNAcentral.